Molecule: small RNA, 162 nt
Filed under: Chelonoidis abingdonii (Abingdon island giant tortoise)
Lineage: Eukaryota; Metazoa; Chordata; Testudines; Testudinidae
Description: TUC338 (ENSCABG00000000735.1)
Source: RNAcentral
UUGACAGCUCUGGAAAAUGAGGUCCUCUCUUUACCCAAAGCAAAAAUCUAGCAUGAGCAGCAGCAAUGCCAGUUUCCCUAAACUGGCCUGCAAAACUUGCCUCGAUCUGGAUGGUCAGCCUGGGGGAGUAAUUGUCUUUGGCUUCUCUGCUGAUUCUCUCUU